RNAcentral lists this ribosomal RNA (429 nucleotides) under Actinomycetes bacterium. Its description in RNAcentral is "Actinobacteria bacterium partial 16S ribosomal RNA". It matches the Rfam family "Bacterial small subunit ribosomal RNA", at positions 355 to 776 of the family's 1533-position model. Lineage: Bacteria; Bacillati; Actinomycetota; Actinomycetes. The record is from RNAcentral.
UAGGGAAUCUUCCGCACUGGGCGAAAGCCUGACGGAGCAACGCCGCGUGAGUGAUGAAGGUCUUCGGCUCGUAAAACUCUGUUAUUAGGGAAGAACAAAUGUGUACGUACCUAUGCACGUCUUGACGGUACCUACUCAGAAAGCCACGGCUAACUACGUGCCAGCAGCCGCGGUAAUACGUAGGUGGCAAGCGUUAUCCGGAAUUAUUGGGCGUAAAGCGCGCGUAGGCGGUUUUUUAAGUCUGAUGUGAAAGCCCACGGCUCAACCGUGGAGGGUCAUUGGAAACUGGAAAACUUGAGUGCAGAAGAGGAAAGUGGAAUUCCAUGUGUAGCGGUGAAAUGCGCAGAGAUAUGGAGGAAAACCAGUGGGGAAGGCGACUUUCUGAUCUGUAACUGACGCUGAUGUGCGAAAGCGGGGGGAACAAACAGG